Molecule: antisense RNA, 72 nt
Filed under: Actinoplanes teichomyceticus
Lineage: Bacteria; Bacillati; Actinomycetota; Actinomycetes; Micromonosporales; Micromonosporaceae
Description: ASpks TB sRNA
Rfam family: ASpks TB sRNA
Source: Rfam by way of RNAcentral
CUUCACCGACCCCAGCCACAACGGCUCACCCACCCGAUCACGGCCAUAGGUGGCCAGCAACGCCUGCGCCUC